UCUCAGUUCGGAUUGUAGUCUGCAACUCGACUACAUGAAGCUGGAAUCGCUAGUAAUCGCGAAUCAGAAUGUCGCGGUGAAUACGUUCCCGGGUCUUGUACACACCGCCCGUCACACCAUGGGAGUUGGUAACGCCCGAAGUCAGUGACCCAACCAGUAGGAGGGAGCUGCCGAAGGCGGGACCGGUAACUGGGGUGAAGUCGUAACAAGGUACC
Molecule: ribosomal RNA, 215 nt
Filed under: uncultured bacterium
Lineage: Bacteria
Description: partial 16S ribosomal RNA
Rfam family: Bacterial small subunit ribosomal RNA
Source: RNAcentral